CAUGAUAUCAUCAAUGGCUGCAUUUCAACUGGUAAAGAAGCCAAUGUUUACCAUGCUACAAAAUCAUAUGGGCAGGAAUUUGCAAUCAAAGUUUACAAGACUUCAGUCCUUGUAUUUAAGCUCAAGGCAGUUGGAAUAAGGUGCCCAACUCCACUUCUUUUGAGGUUGCAUGUUCUGGUUAUGGAAUUCAUA
Molecule: long non-coding RNA, 192 nt
Organism: Ipomoea nil (Japanese morning glory)
Lineage: Eukaryota; Viridiplantae; Streptophyta; Magnoliopsida; Solanales; Convolvulaceae
Exons: 3
Source: RefSeq, a predicted model, not a curated record